CCGCCGAUAGAUCGGGACCCGUCCCAGUC
Molecule: small RNA, 29 nt
Filed under: Bombyx mori (domestic silkworm)
Lineage: Eukaryota; Metazoa; Arthropoda; Insecta; Lepidoptera; Bombycidae
Description: ovarian small RNA-2601
Source: RNAcentral